ACCGUCCAUUUGACUUCACACGGAUCACCAUAUGCUUUCUCUCUCAAUGCUCACACAUCUCACAAAACAACAUCAGAUCUUCUUCUCUCUCUCUUCUCUCUCUCUUCUCGGCGAUCUAGGGUUUCAUGAGAUCUAUCACCAGAUCCGUUUGAAUCUAUCACCAGAUCCGUUUCAUGAGCAGAUCUAGGGUUUCAUGAGAUCUAUCACAAGCUUUAUCUGGCAAGGGAUCCGUUUGAUGUUCUGAUGUUGUUGCAAUGAGUGUUAUAUAUCUUACCAUGUUCUUUUGUGAUUCUUACUUUUCUGGUGAAGCGGUUGACGGAUGUUCGAACGACGAAAUCUGAGGUUUACGAAGGAUUUUCGCAUGUGUUUUGUGAUGAAUCGACUCAGAUCUAGGGUUUCAUGAGAUGUAUCACGAGCUUUAUCUGGCAAGGGAUCCACAGAUUUGAACAAGGGAUCCGUUUGAUGUGGAUUUGUUAGUAGAUGCGGUUAUUUCCUACAUCCGAUGUUUUAGUUAGGAUUUACCUUUUUAAUUUUUUUUAUGUUUACUUGUUUGUUUAUAUGUCACAUGCAGAUUAGUAAGACAAAGGUGUUUCUAAGGGCCGGACAGAUGGCAGAGUUUGAUGGUUGUCGGACUAAGGUCCUAAGUUAUACGACCUAGAUGGCUUGGAUAAGCUGAGCCUGUGAGGGUAUGAUGCAUAAGCUGAGCCUAUGAGGCUAUGAUGCAUAAGCUGAGCCUGUCGACUCUAUGAUGCAUAAGCUAAGCUUGUGUUCUUAAUAUGUCUGAACUGAAACUGUUAAGGCUAUGAUGCAUAAGCUGAGCCUGCGGGGUUACAUAACACAAUAGACUGUGAUGAUGAUUGUAUUUUGAGGGUACAUAGAAGAUCCGAGUAGCAUCUUGGCGGGGCAAUAUCCAGGUUGCAUAGUUCUCACUUUGCAACCGUGUGUUGCAGCCAUGGCUUUACCCGUAGUUGUGUUCAUCUCUCAAUUACAUGUCUGAGUCUUCCAGUUGUAAAAGUAUUAUCACAGAUUCACAGAUCUAAAAGUACAUGUCUGAAAGACAGAUGUUGAUUUAUCUUUAAUCUUGAUGUGGAUUUGUUAGUAGAUGCGGUUAUUUCAAAUUAGGUUGAAAGUUUUGUGAUAUUUGAAUUUGUAUUUUUGGUGAUGAUAGUUAGGUUAAUUUCAGAUAUGACAUAGUGAAAGGAUAAAUUGUUUUUGUAGUUUUGAUUUUACUUUAUUCUGUUAUAUUUUGAUCUUUUCCUUCAUUUUUGGGACUGAUAAGUGUCAUGGUUUUGUGAAAAUCUGAGGUUUACGAAGGAUUUUCGCAUGUGUUUUGUGAUGAAUCGACUCAGGUUAGGUUCUAAAUGUUGAUUUAUCUUUAAUCUUGAUGUGGAUUUGUUAGUAGAUGCGGUUAUUUCAAAUUAGGUUGAAAGUUUUGUGAUAUUUGAAUUUGUAUUUUUGGUGAUGAUAGUUAGGUUAAUUUCAGAUAUG
This 1488-nucleotide long non-coding RNA is filed under the name Helianthus annuus (common sunflower). RNAcentral's name for it is "hypothetical non coding rna". Lineage: Eukaryota; Viridiplantae; Streptophyta; Magnoliopsida; Asterales; Asteraceae. The record is from RNAcentral.